AUUGAACGCUGGCGGCAGGCCUAACACAUGCAAGUCGAACGAGUGGCGGACGGGUGAGUAAUGUCGGGGCAACUGGCUGAUGUAGGGGGAUAACUACUGGAAACGGUAGCUAAAACCGCAUACCAGGGGAGGGGACCAGAUGGGAUUAGAGAGUAGGGGGGGUAACGGCUCACCUAGGCGACGAUCCCUAGCUGGUCUGAGAGGAUGAGCAGCCACACUGGGACUGAGACACGGUCCAGACUCCUACGGGAGGCAGCAGUGGGGAAUAUUGCACAAUGGGCGCAAGCCUGAUGCAGCCAUGCCGCGUGUAUGAAGAAGGCCUUCGGGUUGUAAAGCACUUUCAGCGGGGAGGCGUUACCCGCAGAAGAAGCACCGGCUAACUCCGUGCCAGCCGCCGCGGUAAUAC
RNAcentral lists this ribosomal RNA (406 nucleotides) under uncultured bacterium. RNAcentral describes it as "partial 16S ribosomal RNA". It matches the Rfam family "Bacterial small subunit ribosomal RNA", at positions 29 to 526 of the family's 1533-position model. The record is from RNAcentral.